GUCGAACGGCAGCACGGGAGCAAUCCUGGUGGCGAGUGGCGAACGGGUGAGUAAUACAUCGGAACGUGCCCUGUAGUGGGGGAUAACUAGUCGAAAGACUAGCUAAUACCGCAUACGACCUGAGGGUGAAAGUGGGGGACCGCAAGGCCUCAUGCUAUAGGAGCGGCCGAUGUCUGAUUAGCUAGUUGGUGGGGUAAAGGCCUACCAAGGCGACGAUCAGUAGCUGGUCUGAGAGGACGAUCAGCCACACUGGGACUGAGACACGGCCCAGACUCCUACGGGAGGCAGCAGUGGGGAAUUUUGGACAAUGGGGGCAACCCUGAUCCAGCAAUGCCGCGUGUGUGAAGAAGGCCUUCGGGUUGUAAAGCACUUUUGUCCGGGAAGAAAUCGCACCUGAUAAUACCGGGUGUGGAUGACGGUACCGGAAGAAUAAGGACCGGCUAACUACGUGCCAGCAGCCGCGGUAAUACGUAGGGUCCAAGCGUUAAUCGGAAUUACUGGGCGUAAAGCGUGCGCAGGCGGUUGUGCAAGACCGAUGUGAAAUCCCCGGGCUUAACCUGGGAAUUGCAUUGGUGACUGCACGGCUAGAGUGUGUCAGAGGGGGGUAGAAUUCCACGUGUAGCAGUGAAAUGCGUAGAGAUGUGGAGGAAUACCGAUGGCGAAGGCAGCCCCCUGGGAUAACACUGACGCUCAUGCACGA
RNAcentral lists this ribosomal RNA (700 nucleotides) under uncultured Ralstonia sp. Its description in RNAcentral is "bacterial SSU rRNA". It matches the Rfam family "Bacterial small subunit ribosomal RNA", at positions 61 to 756 of the family's 1533-position model. The record is from RNAcentral. Lineage: Bacteria; Pseudomonadati; Pseudomonadota; Betaproteobacteria; Burkholderiales; Burkholderiaceae.